GGUUUUAUAGUCAAAUUAUGAUAUUAGGUUGCAAUUCUAAAGUUGUUUAAAUACUAAAGCCU
RNAcentral lists this transfer RNA (62 nucleotides) under Calopteryx splendens (banded demoiselle). Its description in RNAcentral is "tRNA-Cys". Lineage: Eukaryota; Metazoa; Arthropoda; Insecta; Odonata; Calopterygidae. The record is from RNAcentral.